CCUACGGGAGGCAGCAGUGAGGAAUAUUGGUCAAUGGGCGCGAGCCUGAACCAGCCAAGUCGCGUGAGGGAAGACGGUCCUAUGGAUUGUAAACCUCUUUUGUCGGGGAGCAAAAGACGCCGCGCGUGGCGUUCCGAGAGUACCCGAAGAACAAGCAUCGGCUAACUCCGUGCCAGCAGCCGCGGUAAUACGGAGGAUGCGAUCGUUAUCCGGAUUUAUGGGGUUUAAAGGGUGGGCAGGUGGAAGAUCAAGUGAGCGGUAAAAUUGAGAGGCUCAACCUCUUCGAGCCGUUGAAACUGGUUUUCUUGAGUGAGCGAGAAGUAUGCGGAAUGCGUGGUGUAGCGGUGAAAUGCAUAGAUAUCACGAAGAACUCCGAUUGCGAAGGCAGCAUACCGGCGCUCAACUGACGCUCAUGCACGAAAGUGUGGGUAUCGAACAGGAUUAGAUACCCCAGUAGUC
Molecule: ribosomal RNA, 459 nt
Filed under: uncultured bacterium
Lineage: Bacteria
Description: partial 16S ribosomal RNA
Rfam family: Bacterial small subunit ribosomal RNA
Source: RNAcentral